CUUUGAUAAUGUUUUAAUCUUGUUGUGUGACAGAUUUAAUUCCUUCAGAUUGCCAUUGUAACUAAAAUGUCUGUUUUGUAUUUUUUGUAUACGAUUAUAACUUAAAUCGAUGCUGCGUAUGUUAUCUUUCUAUGUUUCUGUGGAAUUUCAACCAAAGAUGAAGAACUGGAUAUUCCAUCACUGUAUUGGAUACCUAAACUACAUAAGUGUCCUUACAAACAACGGUAUAUUGCUGGGUCUUCCAAGUGCUCCAUGAAGCCUCUUUCUAAAUUAUUAACAUCUAUUUUAUCAGCAAUCAAAGACGGGCUUCAAAGUUAUUGUGAAACUGCCUAUUCUAGAGGUGGGGUGAAUCAGAUGUGGAUACUUAAAAAUUCUAAAGAUCUUUUAGAGUACAUACAAUCUAACUCUCUUUUAUCUUGUAACAGUAUUAAAACAAUUGACUUUUCUACUCUUUACACAAGUAUUCCACAUUCCAAACUAAAAGACAAAUUGAAAGAGUUGGUAUUGCUUUGCUUCAUAAAAAAGAAUGGCCAACGUAGAUACAAGUAUCUUGUCUUAGGGAGGGAUAAAUCCUACUUUGUAAAGGAUCACUCUGAUUCAAACAAAAAAUUCUCUGAAACUGAUAUUAUCAAGAUGCUUGAUUUCUUGAUUGACAACAUAUUUGUUACGUAUGGAGGACGUGUUUUUCAACAGACUGUCGGCAUUCCAAUGGGCACAAAUUGUGCCCCUCUACUUGCCGACUUGUUUCUUUAUUAUUAUGAGGCUGACUUCAUGCAGGAACUUUUUAGGAAGAAAGACAAGAAGUUAGCAAUAUCCUUUAACUCUACAUUCCGCUAUAUAGAUGAUGUUCUUUCACUAAUCAAUUUAAAAUUUUGGUGACUAUGUGGAACGCAUCUAUCCCAUCGAACUAGAGAUAAAGAAUACUACAGAUACAGUUAAGUCGGCCUCAUAUCUUGACUUACAUCUAGAAAUUGACAAUGAGGGUCGGUUGAAAACAAAACUUUACGACAAAAGAGAUGAUUUCAGCUUUCCAAUUGUGAAUUUUCCAUUUCUAAGUAGCAACAUUCCAGCAGCACCUGCAUACGGGGUAUAUAUCUCUUAAUUGAUACGAUAUUCCCGUGCUUGUAUUUCCUAUCAUUAUUUUCUUGAUAAAGGGUUGCUGGUCACAAGGAAGCUAUUAAACCAAGAGUUCCAAAUGUUGAAGUUGAAAUCAUCCUUCGUAAAUUUUACGGACGCCAUCACGAGUUGGUUGACCGUUAUAUAUAUAAUAACCGUUUCACAAAUGAUAUCGGACGUGUCCCUUACGUCGUAACUACAAUCCACUUCCCUUUCAUGAAUGUGACCUACCGAAUAAGACUAUUUACCGGAUUUGUUAUCACAUAAGCAACACGAAGGGUGCCACAUGUGGAGCAGGAUCUGCUUACCUUUCCGGAGCACCUGAGAUCAUCCCUAGUUUUUUGGUGGGGUUCGUGUUGUUUAUUCUUUAGUUUUCUAUGUUGUGUCAUGUGUACUAUUUUUGUCUGUUUGUCUUUUUCUUUUUUAGCCAUGGCGUUGUCAGUUUAUUUUAGAUUUAUGAGUUUGACUGUCCCUUUGGUAUCUUUCGUCCCUCUCUUCAAGACUGGAAUGACAUGUAACGUUGAAUGGGAACAUACUGCGUUGUAGUAUGGUGUCGGUAAAAAUGAGAAACAACGAUAUUUUGUUGAAAAGUAACAUGUCACCCUCUUGCAGCAUCUGUAUUGACAUGGCCGACAGUUAGGUAUACAAACAUCAGGUUGAUCAUGAGGAACAUUAUUUAAAUCU
This 1800-nucleotide long non-coding RNA is filed under the name Mytilus galloprovincialis (Mediterranean mussel). Lineage: Eukaryota; Metazoa; Mollusca; Bivalvia; Mytilida; Mytilidae. The record is from RNAcentral.